RNAcentral lists this ribosomal RNA (460 nucleotides) under uncultured bacterium. RNAcentral's name for it is "partial 16S ribosomal RNA". It matches the Rfam family "Bacterial small subunit ribosomal RNA", at positions 338 to 795 of the family's 1533-position model. The record is from RNAcentral.
CCUACGGGUGGCUGCAGUGAGGAAUAUUGGUCAAUGGGCGCGAGCCUGAACCAGCCAAGCAGCGUGAAGGAUGACUGCCCUACGGGUUGUAAACUUCUUUUAUAAAGGAAUAAAGUGUGGCAUGUAUGCACUUUUUUAUGUACUUUAUGAAUAAGGAUCGGCUAACUCCGUGCCAGCAGCCGCGGUAAUACGGAGGAUCCGAGCGUUAUCCGGAUUUAUUGGGUUUAACGGGAGCGUAGAUGGGUUGUUAAGUCAGUUGUGAAAGUUUGCGGCUCAACCGUAAAAUUGCAAUUGAUACUGGCAGUCUUGAGUACAGUUGAGGUAGGCGGAAUUCGAGGUGUAGCGGUGAAAUGCGUAGAGAUCACGAAGAACUCCGAUUGCGAAGGCAGCUUAUUAAGCUGCCACUGACAUUGAUGCUCGAAAGUGUGGGUAUCAAACAGGAUUAGAUACCCGAGUAGUC